RNAcentral lists this transfer RNA (71 nucleotides) under Ruminococcus sp. AM27-16. Its description in RNAcentral is "tRNA-Trp". It matches the Rfam family "tRNA". From Rfam's summary of the family: Transfer RNA (tRNA) molecules are approximately 80 nucleotides in length. RNAcentral also lists the same sequence under 1 other name. Lineage: Bacteria; Bacillati; Bacillota; Clostridia; Eubacteriales; Oscillospiraceae. The record is from RNAcentral.
GGGCGUAUGGUAUAAUGGUAAAACAUCUGACUCCAGAUCAGAGGAUUAGGGUUCGAUUCCUUAUGCGUCUG